GAACGGGUGAGUAACACGUGGGUGAUCUGCCCUGCACUUUGGGAUAAGCCUGGGAAACUGGGUCUAAUACCGAAUAGGAUCAUUGGCUUAUGGCUGGUGGUGGAAAGCUUUUGCGGUGUGGGAUGGGCCCGCGGCCUAUCAGCUUGUUGGUGGGGUAAUGGCCUACCAAGGCGACGACGGGUAGCCGGCCUGAGAGGGUGACCGGCCACACUGGGACUGAGAUACGGCCCAGACUCCUACGGGAGGCAGCAGUGGGGAAUAUUGCACAAUGGGCGCAAGCCUGAUGCAGCGACGCCGCGUGAGGGAUGACGGCCUUCGGGUUGUAAACCUCUUUCAGCACAGACGAAGCGCAAGUGACGGUAUGUGCAGAAGAAGGACCGGCCAACUACGUGCCAGCAGCCGCGGUAAUACGUAGGGUCCGAGCGUUGUCCGGAAUUACUGGGCGUAAAGAGCUCGUAGGUGGUUUGUCGCGUUGUUCGUGAAAACUCACAGCUUAACUGUGGGCGUGCGGGCGAUACGGGCAGACUGGAGUACUGCAGGGGAGACUGGAAUUCCUGGUGUAGCGGUGGAAUGCGCAGAUAUCAGGAGGAACACCGGUGGCGAAGGCGGGUCUCUGGGCAGUAACUGACGCUGA
RNAcentral lists this ribosomal RNA (634 nucleotides) under Mycolicibacterium neoaurum. Its description in RNAcentral is "bacterial SSU rRNA". It matches the Rfam family "Bacterial small subunit ribosomal RNA", at positions 100 to 749 of the family's 1533-position model. Lineage: Bacteria; Bacillati; Actinomycetota; Actinomycetes; Mycobacteriales; Mycobacteriaceae. The record is from RNAcentral.